AUCAUUACCGAGUGAGGGCCCUCUGGGUCCAACCUCCCACCCGUGUUUAUUUUACCUUGUUGCUUCGGCGGGCCCGCCUUAACUGGCCGCCGGGGGGCUUACGCCCCCGGGCCCGCGCCCGCCGAAGACACCCUCGAACUCUGUCUGAAGAUUGAAGUCUGAGUGAAAAUAUAAAUUAUUUAAAACUUUCAACAACGGAUCUCUUGGUUCCGGCAUCGAUGAAGAACGCAGCGAAAUGCGAUACGUAAUGUGAAUUGCAAAUUCAGUGAAUCAUCGAGUCUUUGAACGCACAUUGCGCCCCCUGGUAUUCCGGGGGGCAUGCCUGUCCGAGCGUCAUUGCUGCCCUCAAGCCCGGCUUGUGUGUUGGGCCCCGUCCCCCGAUCUCCGGGGGACGGGCCCGAAAGGCAGCGGCGGCACCGCGUCCGGUCCUCGAGCGUAUGGGGCUUUGUCACCCGCUCUGUAGGCCCGGCCGGCGCUUGCCGAUCAACCCAAAUUUUUAUCCAGGUGANCCUCGAUCAGUA
Molecule: ribosomal RNA, 521 nt
Filed under: Penicillium commune
Lineage: Eukaryota; Fungi; Ascomycota; Eurotiomycetes; Eurotiales; Aspergillaceae
Description: eukaryotic LSU rRNA
Rfam family: 5.8S ribosomal RNA (bases 184-336)
Source: RNAcentral